GGGGAUAUAACUCAAUUGGUUAGAGUGUUGGCUUUGCAAGUCAAAGGUUGCAGGUUCGAGUCCUGUUAUCUCCA
Molecule: transfer RNA, 74 nt
Organism: Allomyces macrogynus ATCC 38327
Lineage: Eukaryota; Fungi; Blastocladiomycota; Blastocladiomycetes; Blastocladiales; Blastocladiaceae
Rfam family: tRNA
About the family: Transfer RNA (tRNA) molecules are approximately 80 nucleotides in length. Their secondary structure includes four short double-helical elements and three loops (D, anti-codon, and T loops).
Source: Rfam